CAGGGAGCUGAGUCAGAGAGAGCGUGUGUAAUUUGCCCAGCGUCCCACAGAUAGUAAAUGGCAGAGCCGAGCUCCCUCCCUGCCCCGCCAGCGCCUGCCUUCCGCCGUCUCGGAUCUCCUGUGCUCAGGAAACCUGUUGAAGAUAGGACUGCCGAAUGAGUGGACUUGAAACCAAAGAAAUCCCAAGCCACGCCAAACAGGACCUCAGGACUCUCCCAUUUUUCUGUCAUCAGGGGCAUGUUUGGUACCUCUGGUGAUUUGCGAAAUGACCUUCUGACCCCAGAACUCCGAGUCAAACCCUGCGCCACACCCUUCCCAGGGCCCAGUGGUACUGCAUCAUCUGUUGCAAUCAGCUGCCGAGGCUUCACCACUGGUAUUCCUAUGAAACAGCAAGUGCACCAGUUGUCAUCCAUCCUCAUUCUGAAGUCUCAGCUGUCUUUGAGGCUGCUACUCUAUUCUUCUGACACUCCAUCAUAAAAGUUCUCACCAGUAGUCACCAGUUUGGACUUAUCCUCUUCAUCACCAACUUCAUCAUCUUCCACACUUCGGCCAGGAAAGAAAAAGCCCAUCAUUCUAUGGAAGAACUGGUGUGUCAGCUGGAUGGUGAGAGGCACCACAUUUACCUAAAGAGGAAAAAGAUUCAAGAAGCAAUUAAGCUUAGACACCAUCAUCAGUUUACCUACUCCUGAUAUUGUGUAACACACAGCUGGCUUUUGAAUGUCCUUUGUUCCCAGGUCCCUAAGGGACUGCUUACUAACCUCAAAAUGCUCCUUAACAGAGAUACCCCCAACAGGGGGCCGGACUUUGCUGAAGAGGCGGAGAGCUAGCUGUCGCCCAGACUGGCAGGAGCUCUGGGGCCGCAGUACUACCUGUAGGAUACAGAGUAAAUAACAGCCCAACCCAAUGUCCUUCCUGCCAUAAAGCAACCCAUAAACUCUCUGCAGAAUGACAGGAGAAGCAAUGGAAUUGCUAAGCUGGGCAAGCUUUCACCCUCUCUGAUCACCACAUUGUUUUCCAUAGUGGAUUUAUAUUAAAGAGCCAUUAUAAAUGCCCUGUGCUAAAAACAUGCAAAUGGACUAGGAAUGGAGGAAAAAAGACUUGCCUUAUAGACAGCAUUGGGGAGGAGGUUGUUCAUAGUGAACCAGCCCAACUCCAGAAGAUGUUCUGCUGUGUCAUCAGACUUAUUCACCUAUAAAGACAGAUUUUGCCCCAUCUACUAUAAUAAACCUUUCUCAGAAGUCUACUAGACAAUUGCUAUAUAUCCAGUUUGUUUUCAGGCUCUACGUAUGCCUAAUCCCAACUUUGCUUUCUUCUUCAAUCUCAUACAAUCAACACCCUUUAAUCUAGCAUUUCUCAUGGGUACCAUUAUCCAGGACACUAAAUGCUGGUAGUACUAUCUAGCCAUAGUGACAUUAAAAAAUUGUCUAACUCAUUUCCAAAUGUCCCUUGUAGGAGAAAGUAAUAAAUAACAUCCUCUUCUUCAUGUCAAUGGCAGGAAAGCUGAAUGUCAGUAUUAGAAUAUUCUAUUCC
Molecule: long non-coding RNA, 1530 nt
Organism: Sapajus apella (tufted capuchin)
Lineage: Eukaryota; Metazoa; Chordata; Mammalia; Primates; Cebidae
Exons: 2
Source: RefSeq, a predicted model, not a curated record